UAGAGUAGAUCCUGGCUCAGGCUGGAUCACCUCCUUAGAGUUUGAUCCUGGCUCACGGCUGGGUCACCUCCUUAGAGUUUGAGCCCGUCUCUGGGGGACAAGCCCUGGAAACGGGGUCUAAUACCGGAUAACACUCUGUCCCGCAUGGGACGGGGUUAAAAGCUCCGGCGGUGAAGGAUGAGCCCGCGGCCUAUCAGCUUGUUGGUGGGGUAAUGGCCUACCAAGGCGACGACGUUGGUAGCCGGCCUGAGAGGGCGACCGGCCACACUGGGACUGAGACUAACGGCCCAGACUCCCCGCCUACGGGAGGCAGCAGUGGGGAAUAUUGCACAAUGGGCGAAAGCCUGAUGCAGCGACGCCGCGUGAGGGGAUGACGGCCUUCGGGUUGUAAACCUCUUUCAGCAGGGAAGAAGCGAAAGUGACGGUACCUGCAGAAGAAGCGCCGGCUAACUACGUGCCAGCAGCCGCGGUAAUACGUAGGGCGCAAGCGUUGUCCGGAAUUAUUGGGCGUAAAGAGCUCGUAGGCGGCUUGUCACGUCGGAUGUGAAAGCCCGGGGCUUAACCCCGGGUCUGCAUUCGAUACGGGCUAGCUAGAGUGUGGUCAGGGGAGAUCGGAAUUCCUGGUGUAGCGGGUGAAAUGCGCAGAUAUCAGGAGGAACACCGGUGGCGAAGGCGGAUACUCUGGGCCAUUACUGACGCUGAGGAGCGAAACGCGUGGGGAGCGAACAGGAUUAGAUACCCUGGUAGUCCACGCCGUAAACGUUGGGAACUAGGUGUUGGCGACAUUCGCACGUCGUCGGUGCCGCAGCUAACGCAUUAAGUUCCCCGCCUGGGGAGUACGGCCGCAAGGCUAAAACUCAAAGGACAUUGACUUGGGGGCCCGCACAAGCAGCGGAGCAUGUGGCUUGAAUUCGACGCAACGCGAAGAACCUUACCAAGGUUUGACAUAUACCGGAAAGCAGCAGAGAUGGUGCCCCCCUUGUGGUCGGUAUACAGGUGGUGCAUGGCUGUCGUCAGCUCGUGUCGUGAGAUGUUGGGUUAAGUCCCGCAACGAGCGCAACCCUUGUUCUGUGUUGCCAGCAUGCCCUUCGGGGUGAUGGGGACUCACAGGAGACUGCCGGGGUCAACUCGGAGGAAGGUGGGGACGACGUCAAGUCAUCAUGCCCCUUAUGUCUUGGGCUGCACACGUGCUACAAUGGCCGGUACAAUGAGCUGCGAUGCCGCGAGGCGGAGCGAAUCUCAAAAAGCCGGUCUCAGUUCGGAUUGGGGUCUGCAACUCGACCCCAUGAAGUCGGAGUUGCUAGUAAUCGCAGAUCAGCAUUGCUGCGGUGAAUACGUUCCCGGGCCUUGUACACACCGCCCGUCACGUCACGAAAGUCGGUAACACCCGAAGCCGGUGGCCCAACC
Molecule: ribosomal RNA, 1407 nt
Filed under: Streptomycetaceae bacterium AF14
Lineage: Bacteria; Bacillati; Actinomycetota; Actinomycetes; Kitasatosporales; Streptomycetaceae
Also listed under: 1 other name
Description: bacterial SSU rRNA
Rfam family: Bacterial small subunit ribosomal RNA
Source: RNAcentral